UACGGAAGGCAGCAGUGGGGAAGUAUUGCACAAUGGGCGCAAGCCUGAUGCAGCCAUGCCGCGUGUAUGAAGAAGGCCCUUCGGGUUGUAAAGUACUUUUCAGUCGUGAGGAAGGUGUUAAGGUUAAUAACCUUAGCAAUUGACGUUAGCGACAGAAGAAGCACCGGCUAACUCCGUGCCAGCAGCCGCGGUAAUACGGAGGGUGCGAGCGUUAAUCGGAAUUACUGGGCGUAAAGGGCACGCAGGCGGUUAACUUAAGUUGGAUGUGAAAUCCCCGGGCUUAACCUGGGAAUGGCAUUCAAGACUGGUUAGCUAGGAGUCUUGUAGAGGGGGUAGAAUUCCAUGUGUAGCGGUGAAAUGCGUAGAGAUGUGGAGGAAUACCGGUGGCGAAGGCGGCCCCUGGACAAAGGGCCUGACGCGUCAUGUGGCG
This 430-nucleotide ribosomal RNA is filed under the name uncultured bacterium. RNAcentral's name for it is "bacterial SSU rRNA". It matches the Rfam family "Bacterial small subunit ribosomal RNA", at positions 340 to 755 of the family's 1533-position model. The record is from RNAcentral.